UCUAUCACUGUUCUGGAGGAGGUAACUAUCUUUGUAGUUGUAAGAAAAUUUUUGGAGUCUUAACAUUGGGAUCACUGCAAUUUAUACUAAUAAAUGCAAAAUCUUUUAAUGGUUUUCUUUUACGCUUUGUUGAACUGCACACUUUUGGUAGAAUGCUGUAUUCAUCGUGCCAAAUAGUAUGUUAUAAACUUGCUUGGCGAUACUAUAAAGCUCUAAACAAG
Molecule: unclassified non-coding RNA, 221 nt
Filed under: Hevea brasiliensis (rubber tree)
Lineage: Eukaryota; Viridiplantae; Streptophyta; Magnoliopsida; Malpighiales; Euphorbiaceae
Source: RNAcentral